This 1457-nucleotide long non-coding RNA is filed under the name Monodelphis domestica (gray short-tailed opossum). RNAcentral describes it as "lncRNA (ENSMODG00000050899.1)". Lineage: Eukaryota; Metazoa; Chordata; Mammalia; Didelphimorphia; Didelphidae. The record is from RNAcentral.
AGUUCUAGAAUCUGAUCCCCGAGUCUGGGAUUAUUCCACUGUAUCACACUGACACCUCCAUGAAAAAAUACAAAGGCAAGGUCAAGAGUGAAGAGGGUGAGAGCUUUCAGCCUCAGAAGGAAUCCAGGGGCAAAACGCAUUGUGGUCACUGUUAAGGAAAAAUAACAUUCGGAGGAGUCUGGUAAGUCUCCUAUAGGCAGCUCUUCCCGAUGUCCCUAGUUCAUGAGGCUGGCUCUCUCUCUCUCUCUUUCUGUCUGUCUUUGUCUGUCUGUCUCUCUCCCUCCCUGUCUGCCUCUUCCUGUCUGUCUGUCUGUCCCUCCCUCUGUCUGUCUUUCUCCCUGUCUGUCUGUCUCUCUCCCUCCCUGUUUGUCUGUCUUUCUCCCUGUCUGCCUCUCCCUUUCUGUCUGUCUGUCUCCCUCUCUGUCUACCUGUCCCUCCCUCUGUCUAUCUUUCUCCCUGUCUGCCUCUUCCUUUCUGUCUGUCUGUCCCUCCCUCUGUCUGUCUCUCUCCCUCCCUGUCUGUCUAUCUUUCUCCCUGUCUGCCUCUUCCUUUCUGUCUGUCUGUCCCUCCCUCUGUCUGUCUGUCUCUCUCCCUCCCUGUUUGUCUGUCUUUCUCCCUGUCUGCCUCUCCCUUUCUGUCUGUCUGUCCCUCCCUCUGUCUUUCUCCCUGUCUGUCUGCUUCUCCCUCUCUGUACAUCUGUAUGUGUAUGUGUGUGUGUGUGUCCCUCUCCCCCCUGCUCCCCGCUCCCUCGUCCCUCCCUCCCUCCCUCUCGCGCUUCUUUCGGGCUCACUCUGGCUCUCUGGCUCUCCCUCCCUCCCUCUCUCUCUCUCUCUGUCUCUCUCUCCCUCUCUCUCUCUCAGUGUGUCUCCUCUCCUGCGCUCUCCAUCCUGCACUUCCUCGCAUCCUCCCUCCCUCCCUCCCCCCCCAGCCAGCUUUCGGAGGGUAAACAAUGUUUGCUGUCGUUGUGGUGGUUGUCAUUGUGGUCUUCGUGGUCCUGGUCGUGGUUGCUGUCUUUAUUGUCGUCGUCUCGGAAUACCAGGUGCCUAUAGACCAGGGCACGAACUUAAAUGCUUGUUGAAGGCAGGAAGGAAGGGAGACUGCAGGCGGGAGAGCUCACUUGGAGCCGCGAGCGAGCGAGCCGAGAGGAUCGGAGACGCCUCUGAGGCAGCCGGGAAACGAGCUGAGCUGGGGAGGAAGAGCCGCGGAUUUCAACAGGCGGAGACAGCCCCGAACCUCGCGGACACGCUCGUGGCAUAAAGAGGAGAAGGACUAAGCUUUGGCCGUUUCCCCAGCGGUGGCGGAGGCGGCGUCGUCGAGGGAAGAGCGGAGCCGAUCGCUCGCUGGAUCGGGGCAUCAACAGGUAAGCCCAUUUCUAGGAACUCGGCUGGGAAGGGAACCGCCCCGCCGCCGCCGCCGCCGCCGGCAGCUCUGUGGGACCCCCGACUCCCUGCGGCCGG